UACGUAGGGCGCAAGCGUUGUCCGGGAUUAUUGGGCGUAAAGAGCUCGUAGGCGGUUUGUCGCGUCUGUCGUGAAAGCUUGGGGCUUAACCCCAAGUCUGCGGUGGAUACGGGCAGACUAGAGGCAGGUAGGGGAGAACGGAAUUCCCGGUGUAGCGGUGAAAUGCGCAGAUAUCGGGAGGAACACCGGUGGCGAAGGCGGUUCUCUGGGCCUGUACUGACGCUGAGGAGCGAAAGCGUGGGGAGCGAACAGG
This 253-nucleotide ribosomal RNA is filed under the name uncultured bacterium. Its description in RNAcentral is "partial 16S ribosomal RNA". It matches the Rfam family "Bacterial small subunit ribosomal RNA", at positions 524 to 776 of the family's 1533-position model. The record is from RNAcentral.